GGAAGGUUGACUACAGGCCCCAAAAGUCUUAGGUCAAAUGAAAGAACACUUACAAGCACUUCUGUCUGUUGCCCCUUUGGUGGAAACAAACUGAGCCAAGUCUCCACUGCUGAUAAUCGAACAGCUUUGCCUGCUUGUUUUCCCACGGAAGGUCAGGAGCUGUGGUGGUGGAGGUGGGCAUUUGGGUUGAAGACUAAAAAACGAGUUAUGACCACAAAGGGCACUGUAGUCAGUAAAAUAAGACAAUUUUUCAAGUCAGUAGUGUAAUGCAACAGAUACCCACUUACCUUCUCUCGGUGGGUACACACGUAAGGAUACUCUUCCUCUGCCCCUCCUCCCCCCUCCCCCACCCCAGUUCAUCCCAUCAACCUACACGUGAAUUCAUUUUGCCCUUUGCAGAUAACAGACUCUUGAAGUUCCCGCUAUGAAAAAGAAUAUUUAGUGUUUGGGUGUAGAAAUAGAGAAUGCUAGAAUAUUUACUGCUUGUUUGGGUGUAGAGAUAGAGAAGGCUAGAAUAUUUAGUGCUUUGUUUGGGUGUAGGAAUCGAGAACGCUUUGGCUAAUGCUAAUGUGAAGCACUUGCAGCUGGGAUUUUCAUCUGGAACGCUAAGCUGCGUUACGUGGGGUCCUCCUAAGCUUAAGGCCUCUUGUUGGGAGCCCUGGUCAUUUCCUCGGUUUUCUCUGUACAAAGCCUUCCCUAGAGAGGAGGCAGGAGAGAAGUCACAAAACCGCACAGACUUCCCUCCCUGUCCCACCUACUUGCUCCACUGCAAGUCCCUUAGAUGCUGGGUCCAGAAGUCUUGAAGGCUUUUCACAACCGGAAAUGUCCUCCCCAUCCUAGCUCUGGGAUGUGCAGUGGAAAGGACUAGCAAUUAGGAGCCAGAUCUGCCUGAGUUCAAAUGCUGCCUCUUCUGAAGGUGGUCUUUGCCUGUGGGGCCUGCCAGAUGUUCUCAGCAAAGUUCACACCGAAAGCUUGGAUUCGGAGGCAGACACGUUUGCAAAAGGUGUCGAAAUGACACAGUCACCCAAACUGGGCCACGUGUCACCAUGCUCCUCCUAAUGGACUCAACCCCCAGGACUUCUAACAGCUUCCAAAACAUACCGUCCCUGCACGCCAGGAAGGGAGCAUACAGAAGAGCGUGUUUCUAUUGGCAACCCCAACUUACAAGAGGUGCUCAGAGACCACUGUUGAUUCGCCACCAGCUUCUCAGGCACAGGAUUCUCUUAGGAAGCCGCAUGGAGAGUAGUCUAAAGAAGGUAAGGGCAGGAUGUGGAAGGUGGGAGACCACUGAGGAGGGGACCGCAAUAGUCUAGGGGAGAGAUAAUGGUGGCCUAGACAGGUAGUGGCCAGGGGUGCGGUGAGCAGUGAUUCCAGAAUAUUCUGAAGAUAGAGCUCACAGGAUGUGCUGAUACACAGGAUAUGGGGUGUGAUAAAAUACAAGGAAAAAAAAAAAGAUGACACCAAUAGGGUUUUCAGCCCAAGUGAAUGGAACAAUGGAGCUGCUAUUAAGAAAGGGAAACCUAUAGGAGGGGCUGGCCCAGGGCAGAUCAGGAGCUGGGUUUUGGCCAUAGAGAGUUUGAGAUGCCCAUUAGACAUCCAUGUGUUGUCAAGUAGGCUUUGGAGACAUGAGUCUGUGGUUCACAGUAGAGGUUCUGGCUAGAGAUACAGAUUUGGACUCAUGCUUUUUCUUGUUUUUCUUCCUCCUCCUCCUCUUCCUCCUCCU
Molecule: long non-coding RNA, 1723 nt
Organism: Felis catus (domestic cat)
Lineage: Eukaryota; Metazoa; Chordata; Mammalia; Carnivora; Felidae
Exons: 6
Source: RefSeq, a predicted model, not a curated record